This 429-nucleotide ribosomal RNA is filed under the name uncultured archaeon. RNAcentral describes it as "bacterial SSU rRNA". It matches the Rfam family "Archaeal small subunit ribosomal RNA", at positions 195 to 625 of the family's 1478-position model. The record is from RNAcentral.
UUCGGCGCCUAAGGAUGAGUCUGCGGACUAUCAGGUUGUAGUCAGGGUAACGACCUGACUAGCCUACGACGGAUACGGGUUGUGAGAGCAAUAACCCGGAGAUGAUAUCUGAGACACGAUAUCAGGCCCUACGGGGCGCAGCAGGCGCGAAAACUUCGCAAUGUGCGAAAGCACGACGAGGGAAUCCCAAGUGCUGGCUCGUUAGAGUCAGCUGUUUUUAUGUCUAAAAAGCAUAGAGAGUAAGGGCUGGGUAAGACGGGUGCCAGCCGCCGCGGUAAUACCUGCAGCUCUAGUGGUGGCCGCUAUUAUUGGGCCUAAAACGUCCGUAGCCUGUUUAUUAAAUGCCUAGGUAAAUUGUGUGGCUUAACCAUACGAAUUCUGGGUAGACUGGUAAACUUGAGACCGGGAUAAGCUAGAGGUACUUCUGGG